CACUUAAAAAGUUGUGCUGUGGAUCCCGUACUAACUAUAUUCAGCAAGAACGAGUAACAUUGAGGCUCUUAUUGAUUCGACAAAGCAAAUAGCGGCGCAUUUUAACUACUACUAGCACUGCUAGCCACAACUCAAGUGUAGUGCACACUUAGUUACGACUUGGUAAACCACGCGCGAAACAUUUCAAACCACCGCAAACGAAAAGAAAAAUGCAGCUUAAGAUUAAAUAAAUUACUUACACGGCUUAGCCAUUUCUCUUAAUUAA
Molecule: long non-coding RNA, 265 nt
Organism: Drosophila erecta
Lineage: Eukaryota; Metazoa; Arthropoda; Insecta; Diptera; Drosophilidae
Exons: 2
Source: RefSeq, a predicted model, not a curated record